Molecule: long non-coding RNA, 10595 nt
Organism: Lagopus muta (rock ptarmigan)
Lineage: Eukaryota; Metazoa; Chordata; Aves; Galliformes; Phasianidae
Exons: 4
Source: RefSeq, a predicted model, not a curated record
GUGCUGUACCACAGGGCAGUGGGCAUGGAACGGGCUUCACAGGGCUGAGGGCACAAAGCUGGAGUUCAAGGAGUGUUUGGACCACGCUCUCAGACAUAGGGUUGGAUUUUGGGCAGCCCUGUGUGGAGCCAGGAGUUGGACUUGAUGGAGAAGGCAGAAGAUGGCACUGGGCAAUGUGCAAUUUCCUUCAUGAGAGGUGGUGGUUACCAGGCAGGAGUAUGAGCACAGUUUAUCAUCAGAGGGUUCAGCUCACAUCUUGUUUUGGAGUUGGUUAGAGAUUGAGGUAGCUCACAAGUGGUAAGGUAGGAACUGGAAGAGCUGAGUGAGCUGGGAGGGUGCCGGAAGCAGAACAGAAAAGAGCACCGUGAGCGUACUUGUGAGGAGAUUAAACUGAACAGGGCCAGGGCAAGGCAGACAGCUGAGAGGACCUGAGUGUAUUGAAGGCAAUGGACAGAGAACGUUCUGGAACAUUUCAGGCUGUAAGAGGCGACAGUCUUUGUGGAGCUUGUGCACACUGGGGUUUGAACUCCCAGUGUGCAUAGAGAUGAAGGUCAGAUUUAGUUGGAGCAUGGGUAAGGGGCUGGAAAUGCAGCAGAGCACUCGGAGGGUAAAUAGCCAUUGAAAACAGCAGAAAAAUGAUUUCACCUUUUCCUCCUUUUACCUUUGAGUAAGCUACCAUGCAAGUCACCAUCUCCUCUCUUUUUCAUUUUCCCCUUUUCAAAGUAUAUUCCUGAACCUCUUUUUUCCCUCAGGACCAUAAGCAUUAAAAGCUUAUACAGCAUCUCACCUUUAUGACUCAACAGCUGAAGAAAAAAUAAUCACAGUAACAAAAGAAAGUGGUAGUUUUGUUUUUAUUUGCCAGCAACUUGUUGCUGUGUGACAUUGAGAGGCAUCAGGUGUUCAGUAUUUUCUCACAUCCUUUUCUUUUGUCUUUGCUUGCUGAAAUGUUAAGUUCCAGCUUUAUAGCUAGUGCUCUCAUUACCACAAAUAAUGAGAAUUCUACAUCAAAAGGGAGUAGAGAAAAAAACUGUCCCUACCUCUUGGAGAGAGUAGAGAUUGCUCAGAGAUGGCAUGGCACUGCACUACUUCUGCAUGCUCCAGCAACAAGCAAUGGGUUUCUGUCUAACAGAUUAUGUAGAUGUCUGUGAUUAUUCAACAAGAUUAACCUUUUUAUUUAUUAAUCACUCUCUAGUAGACAUUAAGGAGGCUUUUUUCACUACUGGUUCUGUUUUGUUUUACCUUGAAUUGAGCACUGCUUUUUUACACUGUGCUGAUUUGUGGUUCCUUUCACUGAUGAGGAACAGCUGGGGCUGUAGAAAUGCAUGCACACAUCUGUGUAGGUAUGUUGGAGACCAAAGGUUGGGACAAGUUGGUAGGCAAUCUUUGAAACAAACACGCCAGGGAAAAGCCUUGACAUGCAACAAAUAUACGCAAAUGUACCUCACUGCUUUGUAUGCACCCAUGUGAGUACAUACUUCUGUAUACAUGUUUUUUUUCUGCCAGCUUCUUUGGCUACAGCCGUAAGUCCCACGACCUUCCAUAUGCUCUCAUGCUACAGUUCUCAGGAACAGGGUAGCUGUUAAGGAAUGGACUGUUCACAUACUUGAAUUGCUUAGAACUAUGCUUCAGCUGUGGGUUACUGAAGACAUGCCUCCAUUAGCCCGAUCUGGUUUCUGUGUAUUUGCAAAGUUGUUAAAAUAUGACCCUUCAUGAUAGAUGGCUAAAACUUUAGCCAAAGUGGAGUUCAAGAGAAUCUGCUAAGUCAGAUCAGACUUUUAGGUCAAGUCCUAAAGCUUUGCAGCUUUGCCUCUAAAUGGUUCUAAAUGGUACACUUUAUUUCCUGGAAACUUGCAAGUUGAUCGUUGCUAAAGAGUUUAGACUGCUGUUCUAGCAUGUUCACGUGUAUGUUGUAGAUGUCAACAUGCUUCAAAAUACGAAGAAAUUGAGCAAUAUCAGUGUCAGCCCUCUAACCUAAUGUUGCCAUGUUACCCUGGACAGAUUCAGACAGUAAUAUAAUCAUUACUUUAAAAAGCUCAUGAGAGAUUUGAAAGCAUAUCAAGGUGCUUGUAAGAUACCUGCUAUAGCAUGCUGUCAUUCUAACCUAGAUGACUUAGUUAUGCCUAAAUCAAUCCCUGCUUAAUUUUACUUUAAUUUUACUUUGAUUUUACUUUACUACUGCAUGAUUUUUUUUUUUGGUUGCUUUCAUGUAAUAAUUAUUUUUUUUAUUUGGACUUCUUUUUUUAAAGGAAGAAACAUUCAUUAUAUGUUUUAUUCUGCCUUUCCAUUUUGCAUGUUAAAAUUUACAGCUUGUAGGGUGGUUUCAUCUGUGCCAUCUGCAUGCCAUAUUGUACAUCAGAUGGUGGGAUAAAAUCUGUAACAAGAACAUUUUGGGACGUUGAAGUCUUUCAGGAUUUGAAGUAAUGAUAUUCACAGCACGAAUGUGUGGAGCCACUCAUAUAACUGAAAUAGAAGACACAGAAUGCCAAAGCAGCUGCUGAGUGAAAGAGAGACCACACAGUUGGGGAAGCAUACAAGCAGCGAGGACAAAAGAACGUUUGAGGGAACAAGAAAGUGCAACUUCAGGCAGUGAGAAACUGGAGUCAAUCACUGGGAAUUAUUGACAAGCAGCCAUGCGCCCACACAGAGAUUAGAGUCUCGCUUUGGGAUGCAAUGUGAAUUAAUACUGGUGUAAAGAGUCAGUAUCAAAAAGGCACCUGGCUUAGUGUUUUCUGAUCCCUGACUAGGCAACUUUGUCAUUUAUUGUUGGGUUUUAGACAUGUUCACAGUCACAAAGUAGGACACCAUUACCUGUACUAACUUCUGUUAGAAAGGACAGCCUAAGAACUAACUAUGACGUUACAGUUUGUGCAAGGAUUGAUAGGGCCCAAUGGAACUCCAGAUGUUGAUAGGUAUACUUCAGUCUUGAGCCCUCACAAUAGAUUUCAUUUGCCCCUGCCUUUAAGUAUCUCUUCACUUUCCUUGAGAUCUCCGGUUUAAAGAGCAAUAGGAAUAAGAUCCUGUUAGAUGUAUUAUGUUUAAUACUGUGGCUAGUAGGAAUUGCCAGUUCUCCCCUUUCUAGCUAUGAGUGCAAACUUCUCAACAAUUUUCAACAACUUUCUAACUUUUCAAUACAUUUUAUUUUAUUUUUAGUGAAAGCAGUCUGUUCAUCUUAGAUCAUCCUGAACCAGAGCUUGUAUUUUAUAUUUGUCUUGCCUGUUACAUUUGCUGGUGACUCAACAUUUCCAACUUCAGAAGUCAGGUUUCAAGAAAUGAAACAAAUACAAAUAGCAACAAAAGGGAACUCUGCUUUAUUUUCUUGAUAUUCAUGAGCUAUGAAUGUCACACAUACUGGAAGCAAUGAUUUUUUUCCUAGAAAUAUUAGUAUGAAGGUUUUAUUUGAUCCAACCUACCAAACUGUUUGAUAUUAAGCUUCAUCUGGGAAAGGUGUCUGAAUUCCACAGACCCGGUCUUGCAGAUGUAAAAAGCUGAUAGCAAACUUUGCUUUCACUACCUUUGUUGGGGGCCAUAGCAAGUCCCCCUAUCCUGAUGGGUAAUUCUGAUUGAGCCUUCUAUGUAACUUUCAUUUUUCUGUGUGAAUCACAAUGGUCUCUUAUGAUUUAGUAUACCUUUUUCUUUUAUUAUUGUCAUGAAUUAUUCCUUCUCUGGUCGUGAUACUGUAAAGUUCUGUUGGCUAUGUUUAAAGUCGAGGCACUGAUGCAAUGGGCACAAUCCAGAUUAGCUGUUCCCUGAAGAAUGCUUCUUCUAAAUGGACAUCUGAACAGAUGUUUAGGAUGAAACAGAAGCAAUGCUGAAGAUGGGGAGCUAGAGUGUAUAAAAUUAAAUGGGUUUACUGCAGAAAAACUCUACCAUUUAGGGCAGAGCUAGGAGCAGAAUUCAAGUCUCUUGAUCAGCCACUGCUUUAAUUCCAAUGUCAUCAUAUCUAGGAUUGAAAAGGGCUUUAAGGAACAUCUAGUUCCAGCCACUGGCCAUGAGCAGAGGCACCUUCCACUAGAUCAGGGUGCCCAAAGCCCCAUUCAUCCUGGCCUUGAACAUUUCCAAGAAUGGAACUCUCCUGGUAGUUUCACUGUAGCACAUCACCAGUGGCACACAAAGACUUUCUGUUCCUUCCUGAUCUUGAUAGGAGUUUGCAGAAUGAGCACGUUCAGAGAUAAUCAUGUCACAAAAAGAAAAAAGUGGUUACAUAAAAGCUCUGAAGCUAAUCACUAGAAUGUCAGUCUCAGUGGGAAUUACAGCCAACUUCUCAUUUUUUCCAGAACCUUCUGUAAAAUACUUGGAAUUGCAAUAUCAACUCUUGUUUACAGGCUCACAACAGUACUCUUCUAGACACAGUAGGAUGCUUUUUCCUUUUCUCAGAAGCAUAGACCUAACAGCAGACUGUGCCACCAAAAGCCCCUCUCCCCGAUUCUCUUCUUUGACUUCUAAGGAGCUUGAAGACCACACUGCGCCUGCACACCUCUACAGCAUCGCUAUCAGGUGCAUGAACUAUCAAGAAUGUAACACUAGGUGUAGAAAAUGGCCCUGAAUCCAUUGUGGAGCCAAGGCGUGGAAACUGGGCAUUUUAAAGUGUCGCCAGAUAUCUCUGCUCCUGGUGUCUGGGUCCUCUCUACAUCUGCUCUGAUUGUCAGCACCAGGGACUUGAAUGUUAUGCAGAAGGAAACUGGAAAAUCACAAGACUUUAAGGUACUGAUUUCCAAAUAAAACUGAGGGUGAGGAGAAAAGUACACUGUGAGUGGAAGGUUUCAGGAAGGAAAUACUAUUGACAGUGAGAGCUGAAAGUGGAUGCUAAAAGUGGCUUAUAAAAUCCUUCAAGAGAUACUACCAGGGAGGGAAACAGAAAUUAAUGAAAUUGUUUUUGCCAUGUGUGGAUGGACAAGAAAUGGAGAUGGGUAAACACAGCACUUGUUACUGGUUGAAACAGUCUUCUCUGGCUUCAUCAAAUGCUUUGGUCUACUACCUGUUCUUUUCACUGCCAGCUGACUGGGAGUAGUGCUUCCAUUCACAACCUAUCUGGUUUCACUGGAGUAGGGUUGCUGAGCAAGAAGUUGAACCAAAAGCAAGCUCAAUAAUGUUCAGGCCACCUCCCCGCAAAGAAGCUUGACCUUCAUCACAUCAUGAUGGAGCACUCCCCUUCCUACUGCAAGCACUUACCUAUUGGGGAACAAGAAGGGAAAUUCCACCAGGAAGCUAGGGAAGAAAGAUGCCUCUCUUCAAUGCCUCUGGCUGCCCAGAGAGACCAAUGAUUCCCCAUCCGGGGGCACAUUUAGAGCUUGGCCCUGGUCUGAGCAGAGGGGCUGGAGUAGGUGCUCUCCCUUUCUUCUUUCAGUAAGCAACUGUGUACGGCCUCAGUAAAGAAGAUGGGACAGUUUUAGGUGCUUUCAGCUUCCCAGCAAUAUCAACUCUGCUGUUGUAGCUAACAUGAAAAAACUAACAACAAUGAAGUGUGAAGAUGUGGAUGGCUUGCAUAGAUGUAAAUACACAGACAUACAGAAGCACUGGCUUUACCUGCUCUGUGGGAAAGCAGUCCAACAGCAAAAUGUGAGGGCGGAGGGAGGGGUGCUUGAGGUUGAAGAAACUCAUGGAAAAAGCACAAAUUCUUAACAGAUUUUGUUUCCAAGAUGCUUGUAUGGAGCCAUUGUAGCAAAACAAGCAAGUCUGAAUGAAUGGAAGGCAAUGUCACAGGCACUGAGUGCUGGCUGCACUACUCAGUUACAUGCUCACCCCUUUCUCCCUGCAUCUCCUUUCCUGGGAGUGCCAGAGGGACUAAAUAAAUGGGGAGCAAACUUUAUAAUGUCUUUUACUGUGCUAUUUUCAGAAUUCCAAUAAAAGACAUCAUCAAACAUUAAUUCUGGACCUCAGAAAUAUAUAAAGGUUUACAUAUUUAGGAUGACUAUUGUAAAGGGCGUGAUUUCCAUCCCAGGGGAAAGAUUUGCAGACCCUGACUUCACGUGUAUGUAGUUACACCUAUGAACAAAAUUCAGGUACACUGAAUGGUUCCAGGAAAAAAAAUCUCUGAUACUUCUCAGAGAACAGUCUUUCAGAUAAAAUAAAAAUCCUUUGCUUUCUCAAAUUGUAUCAUGCUAGUCCCUAAUUUACACCACUUUCUUGCCCAUAAGCGAAGUCCCUUGGAGCAUCAGAAGUGCCUUCUCAUGUGCUCUGUCUGGGUUUUGUGCAGCAGGAUUAAACCAACUUUUCCCCUGGUCAUUCAACAACAUCCUGAGCCCAGGAGAACUAGACCCAGUAUUUCAGCAUCGUGGUGAGGUUCUCUGUUAACCCAGCUCCUGUCUCCUCUGCCUGCAUAUCUGAAGAUUUCAUCAUCCUUUAGGUCCCUCUUGCAGUGGGAGUUUCUGUUCAGCUCCUAUGUCCUUCUUUUCUGAAUCAUUUCCAGAGCUUCAGAAUCUAGUUUCCAUCUUACUGCAGUGGCAUUCAUUCUCUGUUUCUAGACAUAGAGCUUCAUGUUUACCUGUAAUAAACUAAUACAUCACAUGCUUGCUUUCUGUUUAGUGCUGAUUACAUCAGUGACCUAUUUUCAUUUCAGUUCCUCUGGUAUUCAUGUCUGUGGCAAUAUGAUGGCUUUGUUCUCUUCUGUAUCACAAAUUAAAAUGGGCAAUGGCUAGUAAACAACUCCCAUGGUGCUCCCCUAGUUAACACCCUUCUGGUCAAUGGCUCAUUGUGUCACAUUCAGAUUAAAAAUUGGGUUAACCAGUUUCUGAACCAUCCAGUCAAUUAAUUUUCUACAACUUCUUGGCCAAAUUGUGCACAACAAAAGCCUCGUGCUUUAUAGGCGUUUACUAUAUGAAUAGAACUGUUUUUAUGAAGUAAGCUCUUACUCCUCAUAGCACGCUAGCUCAGCAUAAUCUACUUUCUGUAAAUCCAUGCCAGUUGGCAUAAAUAGCCUCUACUUCUUUUUAUUUUGUGAUCUAAUAACACAGGCAUUUUGGCCAGCAUUCUUGUUAGACUAUGAACAUCCAUUAGGCUCAUAGCCAGCAUAAUGGUGAAUAGUCCAUAGCCUGAAAUGGCCUGGGCUCUCUUGCACACCUUUCAAAACACUGUUCCAGGGUGCCCUUCUUUUCCAACCUCUGGAGAUCCCUUGGACUUCCAGUUCUUCUGAAAGUGACAUUUAGUGGCUCACAGUGUUCUUCAGUAAGCUCUUUGAAACUUCAAGGAUACUAAUGGUACAAGUUCUCCAAUUUUAGGAUGCCUGAUAGCAGCAGCUGUUGUUUGAGCCUUUUGAGGCAUCUGCUUUCUCACCAGCCAUGUGGCCAGACAUAGCUUGCUUUUUUCAACCAUCUCAGUGGAUUAAGAUACAUGCAGCACACUGCUUGCUAUUGCUCAGCCCAUACAUGUGGGUAUGAAGCAAGUCUUCCUGAGGCCUCACUGCCUCCGUAGCUCACCUGAGAGAGAUUCCAGUUGAAGAGAUUCUUAAACAACAAAACUGGAUCUCUGUUUGCUUCGACCAAUCAUGAGUCACUGUAGUUGGCACUAAGUGCCAGCACUACAUUCAGUACAGCAGGGCUGCCGUUCAUCUUUUCCCACUUCUCUUCAUCCACAGCUCUUGGAGUGGGACACUGUCAGCCAAUGCCAGCAGUGAGAUCUUUGACAGCCACGAGGUUGGAUCGCCACUGGCUGCCCUUCUUGGCCGGCUCCAUAUGGAAAUGCUAGAGUGAGGGUGACUGGAUGCUCUCAUAAGCAAGCAGCACCGAGGAUGUCCUAAUCCCACAAAAGAUUUCCAGUUCACAUAAGUGCAUGAUUUUUAAAAAGACAUAUAAUGGCUUUAGAAUGGAAUGGAAUGGAAUGGGAUAGGAUAGGAUAGGAUAGGAUAGGAUAGGAUAGGAUAGGAUAGGAUAGGACAGAGUAGUGUAGUGUAGUCUUCAAAGAUCAUCACAUCGAACCACCAUGCAGUUCAAAAAGCUAAAGCACAGUGAAGGCAGUGACAAAAUGCCUUGAACACCGACAGGCAUGGGGCACCAACCACCUCUCUAGAAAGCCUGUUCCAGGCUUUGAUCCCUCUCAGGGUAAAGAAAUGUUCCCCAGUGCCCCAGUUCCCCAGUAGCCUCCCCUGGAGUUCUCUGCCUUUCCCCUCCUGCCAUUGGUUUCCAGGAGCAGAGCCCAGCACCUCCCUCUGCUAGAGAGCAGCAAGGUUGCCUCUCAGCCUCUUUUCCAGACUGGACAGUCUGAUAUCCAUGGCCUUCUCUCACAGGAAAUGCCUUCCAGUUCUGCUUUGUUGCCCUUUUCUGGAUGCUUUCAAUGACUUUGUCAUCCUUUUUAAACUGUGGGGACCAGUACUGCACAUAAUAUUCCAAGUGAAUCCACACCAAGUAUAGCAGGAGAGUCACCUCUUUUGACCAGCUGCCUGCGCUGUGCUUAAUGCAGCCCACAAUGCAUUUUGCCCUCUUGGCUGCCAGGCACGCUGCUGCUCACACUGAGCUGCUGGCACCAGCAGCCCCAGGUCCCUUCCUGCAGAGCUGCUCCUCAGUCUGUCCCCAGUCCAGCGCUGCUCCAUCCCAGGCUCAGCACGUGGCGUUUUUCUUUGCUGAACUUUGUGCCACUGAUGAUUGUCCAAUGCUGCAAUGUAUCUUGAUGCCCCUGAAAGGCCUCUCAGCCCUCCAGGGAGUCAGCAGCACUUCCCAGCUUCACGUGUCACCAAACUUGAUGGAGUGGAGGAUACACUUUGCUCCUGCCUCCAGAUCACCAGCAACUACUCCUGAAAGGAGAUUGUGGUGAGGUGAAGAUCGGCCUCUUCUCCCAGGUAACAGUGAUAGGACAAGAGGGAAUGGCAGUAAGUUGCUCUAGGGGAGGUUCAGGUUGGAUAUUAGAAGAAAUUUCUUAUCAGAGCGGUGAGGCUGUGGCACAGGCUGCCCAGGGAGGUGAAGGAGUCACCAUUCCUGGAGUUAUGUGGAUGUGGCACUGAGGGACGUGGUCAGUGGUCAUGGUGGUCAGUGGGAGGUCAGUUGGGUGGGCUGAUGGUUGGAAUAAAUGUUCUUAGCGGUCUUUUUGCCUUCUUUUCAUCCACCAAUCACGUAACCUUAUCGUAGAAGCAAAUCACCUAAACACAUUAUGAUGAUUUUCAUCUCGAAAUAUUUAGUAGCUUUCAAACAGAUGCUCGCGGCUUCCUAACAACGUCGGUGUCUCCUAAAGAAAGGCACGCAGCGCUCCGAUGCGCUCAGCUCGGGUGAGCGCUGCUCCGCGCCCGGCCCGGCCCCGCACUGCCGCCCAGCGGUGCCUGCCCACGCCGCGCCCACGCCGCUCCGCUCGGGUCUUCGUGCUCUGCUCGUAGCCGGCCCGCUCUCAGAGAAAGCACGGGGCUGAUACGGCGGAGAGGAUGAAAGUAAAACACGCUGCGCGGUGGGACUCGGAGGCAAAGUAAGAGGCAGCAAGGAGUGGCUGCAGCACGGAGACUGAAGGGGCUCUGACUUGAAUAUCCCACCGAAGGACACUGGUGGUGAGGCCCGGCAUAUGGGGAGAUCCAUUAAAGCUCAAGCACUGACAGUAUCAGAACAAGCCACAAGCCCACCUGCACAGAGUUAACAUUGCUUCAAACAUAUUUCAGCUAAAAUCACAGAGUCAUUAAGAUUGGAACAGGCCUCUAAGAUUAUCUAGUCCAACCACCACUUCUCACCAAAACAUUUUAGAGGAUGUGUCUGCAAGCUGUUGUUCUGAUACUACAAAUCCUAAAGCUAAAUCUUCUGUGUCCUGAGAUUGUAGGUAUUUAAAAUGUAUUCAUUUUUUUUUCUCUCUGUGUUUCUCAUCUGACCACUGGCCCUGUGCCUUUCACAUUGUACUGUGCAAAAUAGCCAUUGCCCACAUUUUAGGAGAAGAGUGUAAGAAAUCUCUUAGCAGUACUGGAAAAUGCUAAGCAAUUUCAUUGAACUAGUUGGCUGGGGAUCAUUCACAAACAUAACUGUGGCAUAAUAUUUAAGUUGGUUUUUAGAACCAAACCCCCAAAUGAAAAUUUACAAGUACUUGAAAAGCGAAAAGAAGCAAGGAUGAAGACACUACUUUUUUACCCUUCUAGCAGGAGAGAUUUUCUGGUAAAAAGUACCAAACAAAUGAUUAGCCUUUCUGUUGCACAUUUCAAACCCAGAUUUUAAAGUAUUCUGGUUGGAUGUUUCUCCCUUGAAAGAGUGGUAGGGCAGCGGCACAGGCUGCCCAGCAAGGUGGUGGAGUCACCAUCCAUGGAUGUGUUCAGGAAAUGUUCAGAUGUUGUACUAAGGGACAUUGGUCAGUGGGAAAUAUUGGUGAUAGAUGAAUGGUUGGACUGGAUGAUCUUGGAGGUCUUUUCCAACCUUGGUGAAUCUAUGAUUCCAUAAUCUGAGUAUUUUACAACAGAAGUCAAGCAUCGCUGGCAGAAAAAACUGAACUCAAAUGGCAGAAUUACUUGGUGCAGCUCUGCCAAAGAUGUAACAGCAGAAUUAAAUGCUGAGAAGUGCCUUGUUUCUCAGUUGUCCGCAUAUCAGGGACUACACUGACUCUCACUGCUGCAUUAACUAUGCCGAGAUAGUGAAAAGUGAAAAAAUACUCACCAUGUGCUUUGGACCCCUGUGAGGAUCAGAAAACCAUGCCUGCGUUGAUCAAGU